CAGCCGCCGCGGUAAUUCGUAGGGUGCGAGCGUUAAUCGGAAUUACUGGGCGUAAAGCGUGCGCAGGCGGUUCUAUAAGACAGAUGUGAAAUCCCCGGGCUCAACCUGGGAACUGCAUUUGUGACUGUAGAGCUGGAGUGCGGCAGAGGGGGAUGGAAUUCCGCGUGUAGCAGUGAAAUGCGUAGAUAUGCGGAGGAACACCGAUGGCGAAGGCAAUCCCCUGGGCCUGCACUGACGCUCAUGCACGAAAGCGUGGGGAGCAAACAGGAUUAGAUACCCGAGUAGUCCCUGUCUCUUAUAC
This 301-nucleotide ribosomal RNA is filed under the name uncultured bacterium. RNAcentral describes it as "partial 16S ribosomal RNA". It matches the Rfam family "Bacterial small subunit ribosomal RNA", at positions 509 to 807 of the family's 1533-position model. The record is from RNAcentral.